RNAcentral lists this long non-coding RNA (577 nucleotides) under Gallus gallus (chicken). RNAcentral's name for it is "lncRNA (ENSGALG00010028310.1)". Lineage: Eukaryota; Metazoa; Chordata; Aves; Galliformes; Phasianidae. The record is from RNAcentral.
GCCACAGGAGCUGCGCAGGAGGAGAAGAAUGUGGGCCAAAAGGUGUUCCACUUUGGCUUUGUAUGACACAGUGGACGAGAGGGUACGGCGUUCAGUGGAACAAACGCUGCAGACCCUGGGGAGAAUCAAAGCAGGAGAGAGGAAACGUGCCCUUUGCAGCAGGGGCCGUUGUGCUGGCAUUACCCAUCGCAUCCACUGCUGCUGUGGUCCUUUCUUUCCUUUGGGCAGUUGGCUGUCUCUCAAGGUGUUGUCUACAAUAGGUGCUUGUUUGUGUAUCCAUGUGAGGCUGUUGAAUAAAAUUCCUACCUCUGUGUUCUGCUCUGGGUGCGUGGUUUUCUUGCCUCUGCUCCUGAGGCAUCCCGACUGUCGGAUCCAAACGUACCCUGGGACCGACAGACAGACAGACAGCCAAGGCAGGCAGGUGCUGCGAUGCCAACCGUCCAGCCAGCCAAGGCAGGCAGGCACAUGUGUGUGUGUUUGCGCGUGCGUGUGGGUGUGCGCAAGGGUGGGGUUGCACAUGUUUUGUGUACACGUGGGUGCACAAGGGGAGGGGUUACACAGCUGUGAGUAAGCACAU